This 1962-nucleotide ribosomal RNA is filed under the name human gut metagenome. RNAcentral's name for it is "bacterial LSU rRNA". It matches the Rfam family "Bacterial large subunit ribosomal RNA", at positions 1 to 1977 of the family's 2925-position model. The record is from RNAcentral.
GUAAAUAAUAAAGGGCGUAUGGUGGAUGCCUAGGCUCUCAGAGGCGAAGAAGGACGUGAUAAGCUGCGAAAAGCUCCGUUUAGGUGCAAAUAACCUUUGAUGCGGAGAUCUCCGAAUGGGAUAACCCAAUAUGUUGAAGACAUAUUAUACCGUAAGGUAGGCAAACGCAGGGAACUGAAACAUCUAAGUACCUGCAGGAGAAGAAAACAAACGUGAUUCCCCCAGUAGCGGCGAGCGACCGGGGAUAAGCCCAAACCGUUAUUGUUUCGGCAGUAGCGGGGUAGUAGGACUGCGACAUUGAUGAAAUAAAUGAAAUGGAACACUUUGGAAAAUGUGAUCACAGAGGGUGAUAAUCCCGUACAUGCAAGUUUAUGAAUCAUAGCAGUAUCCUGAGUAAGUCGGGACACGUGUAAUCCUGACCGAAUCCGCCGGGACCAUCCGGCAAGGCUAAAUACUCCUGAGAGACCGAUAGUGAACCAGUACCGUGAGGGAAAGGUGAAAAGCACUUCGAACAGAAGAGUGAAAUAGUCCCUGAACCCAUACGCCUACAAGCUGUCGGAGCCGCUUCGUGCGGUGACGGCGUGCCUUUUGCAUAAUGAGCCUACGAGUUACUCAUCACCAGCGAGGUUAAGUACUUCAGGUACGUAAGCCGAAGCGAAAGCGAGUCUGAAUAGGGCGUCAAGUUGGUGGUGGUAGACGCGAAACCUUAGUGAUCUACCCAUGGGCAGGGUGAAGGUUUGGUAACACAAACUGGAGGCCCGAACCGGUAAACGUUGAAAAGUUUUCGGAUGACCUGUGGGUAGGGGUGAAAGGCCAAUCAAACUGGGAAAUAGCUCGUACUCUCCGAAAUGCAUUUAGGUGCAGCCUCUGUUGUUUUGUUCUAGAGGUAGAGCUACUGAUUGGAUGCGAGGGCUUCACCGCCUAUCAAAUCCGGCCAAACUCCGAAUGCUAGAACAUGAAGACAGGGAGUGAGCCAGCGGGUGCUAAGGUCCGUUGACGAAAGAGGGAGAACUCAGACCAUCAGCUAAGGUCCCCAAUUGUAUGCUAAGUUGGAAUUAAAACGGGGUGGGACUGCUUAGACAGCUAGGAUGUUGGCUUGGAAGCAGCCAUUCAUUUAAAGAGUGCGUAACAGCUCACUAGUCGAGCGGUCCUGCAUGGAUAAUACGCGGGCAUAAGCAUAUAACCGAAGCUAUGGGAUUGUAGAUGAUACAAUCGGUAGGAGAGCAUUCCAUUCAGCGUAGAAGCAGUACCGUGAGGUAUUGUGGAGCGGAUGGAAAAGCAAAUGUAGGCAUAAGUAACGAUAAUGCGGGUGAGAACCCCGCACGCCGAAAGAUCAAGGAUUCCCCGGCAAUGUCAAUCAUCCGGGGGUAAGUCGGAUCCUAAGGGUAAGCCGAGUGGCGAUCCCGAUGGCAAACAGGUUAAUAUUCCUGUACUGAUCAUAACUGCGAUGCAGCGACGCAGAGGUGACACUGCUGCGUACUGACGGAAUAGUACGUUGAAACCCGUAUUCUUUGAUACCGGUAGUGAAGCACGCCGGUAGAGAUGAAAGGUGAUAGUACCGCAAUGCUUCGGUUGCGCGGAUAAUGCAGGUAAGCUGACUGCCAAGAAAACCUGCUAAGCUUCAGGUAAUGAUCAUCCGUACUGUAAACGGACACACGUGAUCAGGUAGAAAAUACUAAGGCGCUCGAGAGAUUCAUGGUUAAGGAACUAGGCAAAAUGGUCCUGUAACUUCGGGAUAAAGGACGCUCUUGUGAAAGAGCCGCAGAUAAUAGGCCCAGGCGACUGUUUACCAAAAACACAUGGCUAUGCUAAUUCGCAAGAAGAUGUAUAUGGCCUGACACCUGCCCGGUGCCGGAAGGUUAAGAGGAGAGCUCAGAGGUAACUCGAAGGUUUGAAUUGAAGCCCCGGUAAACGGCGGCCGUAACUAUAACGGUCCUAAGGUAGCGAAAUUCCUUGUCGGGU